CUAAGAAUAUUCCGCAAUGGGCGAAAGCCUGACGUAGCGACGCCGCGUGGGUGAAGAAGGCCGAAAGGUUGUAAAGCCCUUUUGGACCUGAAGAGUAAGCGCGGGAGGGAAUGCCCGUGUGGUGACGGUAGGGUUUGAAUAAGCAACGGCUAAUUACGUGCCAGCAGCCGCGGUAACACGUAAGUUGCGAGCGUUGUUCGGAAUUAUUGGGCGUAAAGGGCAUGUAGGCGGUAUGGCAAGCCUGAUGUGAAAUCUCCGGGCUUAACCUGGAGGGUGCAUUGGGAACUGCCAUGCUUGAGUUGCUGAGGGGAAGCCGGAAUUCCAGGUGUAGGGGUGGAAUCUGUAGAUAUCUGGAAGAACACCGAUGGCGAAGGCAGGCUUCUGGCAGACGACUGACGCUGAGGUGCGAAGGUGCGGGGAGCGAACAGGAUUAGAUACCCUGGUAGUCCGCACAGUAAACGAUGUACACUAGGUGUCCGGCAGCAAUGCUGGGUGCCGAAGCAAACGCGGUAAGUGUACCGCCUGGGGAGUAUGCCCGCAAGGGUGAACCUCAAAGGAAUUGACGGGGGCCCGCACAAGCGGUGGAGCAUGUGGUUUAAUUCGAUGGUACGCGAGGAACCUUACCUGGGCUUGACAUAUAGGGUGAUUCGGCAGAGAUGCCGGAGCGCAGCAAUGCGACCCCAUACAGGUGCUGCAUGGCUGUCGUCAGCUC
Molecule: ribosomal RNA, 712 nt
Filed under: uncultured bacterium
Lineage: Bacteria
Description: bacterial SSU rRNA
Rfam family: Bacterial small subunit ribosomal RNA
Source: RNAcentral